UGCCACCAGCCCAACGGAUCACAGAACUGU
This 30-nucleotide non-coding RNA is filed under the name Homo sapiens (human). The record is from RNAcentral. Lineage: Eukaryota; Metazoa; Chordata; Mammalia; Primates; Hominidae.